Molecule: ribosomal RNA, 550 nt
Filed under: uncultured Funneliformis
Lineage: Eukaryota; Fungi; Glomeromycota; Glomeromycetes; Glomerales; Glomeraceae
Description: SSU rRNA
Rfam family: Eukaryotic small subunit ribosomal RNA
Source: RNAcentral
UUGGAGGGCAAGUCUGGUGCCAGCAACCGCGGUAAUUCCAGCUCCAAUAGCGUAUAUUAAAGUUGUUGCAGUUAAAAAGCUCGUAGUUGAAUUUCGGGAUCAAUAUUUCGGUCAUGCCGUUGGUAUGCACUGUUAUCAUUGAUUUCUCACCUUCUAAAGAACCGUAAUGCCAUUAAUUUGGUGUUACGGGGAAUUAGGACUGUUACCUUGAAAAAAUUAGAGUGUUUAAAGCAGGCUCACGCUUGAAUACAUUAGCAUGGAAUAAUGAAAUAGGACAUCCGAUUCUAUUUUGUUGGUUUCUAGGAUCGAUGUAAUGAUUAAUAGGGAUAGUUGGGGGCAUUAGUAUUCAAUUGUCAGAGGUGAAAUUCUUGGAUUUAUUGAAGACUAACUACUGCGAAAGCAUUUGCCAAGGAUGUUUUCAUUAAUCAAGAACGAAAGUUAGGGGAUCGAAGACGAUCAGAUACCGUCGUAGUCUUAACCAUAAACUAUGCCGACUAGGGAUCGGAUGAUGUUAAUUUUUUAAUGACUCAUUCGGCGCCUUACGGGAAAC